Molecule: ribosomal RNA, 499 nt
Filed under: uncultured bacterium
Lineage: Bacteria
Description: partial 16S ribosomal RNA
Rfam family: Bacterial small subunit ribosomal RNA
Source: RNAcentral
GAUGAACGCUGGCGGCGUGCCUAAUACAUGCAAGUCGAGCGACCACACGAGAGUACUUGCACUCUCUGACGUUAGCGGCGGACGGGUGAGUAACACGCAUGUAACCUUCCUAUAAGAUUGGGAUAACUUCGGGAAACCGGACCCUAUUCCCGAUUAUAUUUUACUUCUCAUGAAGCAAUAGCUUCAGACGUUUCUGCUGUCACUUAUACAUUGACCCGCGGUGUAUUAGCUGGUUGGUGGGGUAACGGCUCAACAAGGCAACGAUACAUAUCCGACCUGAGAGGGUGAACCGCCAAACUGGGACUGGGACACGGCCCAGACUCCUACGGGAGGCAGCAGUAGGGAAUCUUGGGCAAUGGGGGGAAGGCUGACGGAGCAAUGCCGCGUGGGUGAAGAAGGUUUUCGGGUUGUAAAACCCUGUUGUUGGGGAAGAAGAAGAACGUGAGUAACUCCACGUAGUUUGACGGUACCCUAAAAGAAAGCCACGGCUAACUUCGUG